Molecule: ribosomal RNA, 252 nt
Filed under: uncultured bacterium
Lineage: Bacteria
Description: partial 16S ribosomal RNA
Rfam family: Bacterial small subunit ribosomal RNA
Source: RNAcentral
UACGGAGGAUGCGAGCGUUAUCCGGAUUUAUUGGGUUUAAAGGGUGCGUAGGCGGUCCGUUAAGUCAGCGGCAAAAUUGCGGGGCUCAACCCCGUCGAGCCGUUGAAACUGUCAGACUUGAGUUGGCGAGAAGUACGCGGAAUGCGCGGUGUAGCGGUGAAAUGCAUAGAUAUCGCGCAGAACUCCGAUUGCGAAGGCAGCGUACCGGCGCCACACUGACGCUGAGGCACGAAAGCGUGGGGAUCGAACAGG